Molecule: ribosomal RNA, 431 nt
Filed under: uncultured bacterium
Lineage: Bacteria
Description: partial 16S ribosomal RNA
Rfam family: Bacterial small subunit ribosomal RNA
Source: RNAcentral
CCUACGGGGGGCAGCAGUAAGGAAUAUUGGUCAAUGGGCGGAAGCCUGAACCAGCCAUGCCGCGUGCAGGAAGACGGCCUAUGGGUUGUAAACUGCUUUUGUACGGGAAUAUGUACUGUAAGAAUAAGGAUCGGCUAACUCCGUGCCAGCAGCCGCGGUAAUACGGAGGAUCCAAGCGUUAUCCGGAUUUAUUGGGUUUAAAGGGUGCGUAGGUGGCCUGUUAAGUCAGGGGUGAAAGACGGUAGCUCAACUAUCGCAGUGCCCUUGAUACUGAUGGGCUUGAAUGGACUAGAGGUAGGCGGAAUGUGACAAGUAGCGGUGAAAUGCAUAGAUAUGUCACAGAACACCGAUUGCGAAGGCAGCUUACUAUGGCCAUUGACACUGAGGCACGAAAGCGUGGGGAUCAAACAGGAUUAGAUACCCUUGUAGUC